AUGUGCUUCUUCUUAAGGACCUUUCAUGAUAAGACUGUGAGCUUGGGAGUCACCUGCUGGAAGUCACUUGGGCUAUUUGUGAGCAAAUACUUGUCACCGUUACCUCAUCUAAUGAGCCCUGCCCCCAAGGUGACACGCAAACUAGGAAAUUCAGGUACAGGCAUUUUCCAGUCUCAGAUGUCUGCUACUGCCAGCCACACCUUCUGUUGAAACUCAGCCAGAGUCAUUUCCUACUAGGCUUCAGAAAAUACCUGUAAAUGCUGUAACAAAC
This 271-nucleotide long non-coding RNA is filed under the name Crocodylus porosus (Australian saltwater crocodile). RNAcentral's name for it is "lncRNA (ENSCPRG00005005467.1)". The record is from RNAcentral. Lineage: Eukaryota; Metazoa; Chordata; Crocodylia; Crocodylidae.